Prosopis cineraria is the source of this 355-nucleotide long non-coding RNA. RefSeq lists it as uncharacterized. The record is from RefSeq and is a predicted model, not a curated record. The transcript has 3 exons. NCBI's taxonomy places the organism in Eukaryota, Viridiplantae, Streptophyta, Magnoliopsida, Fabales, Fabaceae.
CAUUGGUUAGAUGAGGGAAGAGAAGAGGUGCCUUCAUGUAUAAAAAGGAGGGGGUGUGUGCAUUAGGAAGCAUGAGAGGCUAAGAUGCAAUUUAGAGAAAAUUGCAACUUUUGGCCCAAAGGUUUGAAUAAUUAAAUUCAAACCUAUAGUUUUUUUAAUAUAAUUUUGGGACUCACAAUCCCAUUUUUAUAUUAUUUUUCUCUCUUCCUCUCACGUUGCUCGGCGUUUUCUCACAAGGGGGGAUUAUUUUCUUUUUCUUCAGAUUAUAUUGACAAAGAUAGUGGUGAAAAAGGAGUUGUGAAGGGGAACUUGUUAUUCAAGACACAAGGAGCGAAUCCGGCCGAGAAAGCACCAG